Molecule: ribosomal RNA, 485 nt
Filed under: uncultured bacterium
Lineage: Bacteria
Description: bacterial SSU rRNA
Rfam family: Bacterial small subunit ribosomal RNA
Source: RNAcentral
AUUGAACGCUGGCGGCAUGCCUUACACAUGCAAGUCGAACGGCAGCACGGGAGCAAUCCUGGUGGCGAGUGGCGAACGGGUGAGUAAUAUAUCGGAACGUGCCCAGUCGUGGGGAUAACGUAGCGAAGGCUACGCUAAUACCGCAUACGAUCUAUGGAUGAAAGCGGGGGAUCGCAAGACCUCGCGCGAUUGGAGCGGCCGAUAUCAGAUUAGGUAGUUGGUGAGGUAAAGGCUCACCAAGCCGACGAUCUGUAGCUGGUCUGAGAGGACGACCAGCCACACUGGGACUGAGACACGGCCCAGACUCCUACGGAGGCAGCAGUGGGAAUUUUGGACAAUGGACGCAAGUCUGAUCCAGCCAUUCCGCGUGCAGGAUGAAGGCCCUCGGGUGUAAACUGCUUUUGUACGGAACGAAAAGGUUUCUCUUAAUAACGAGGAGCUCAUGACGGUACCGUAAGAAUAAGCACCGGCUAACUACGUGCCAG